Molecule: ribosomal RNA, 660 nt
Filed under: uncultured fungus
Lineage: Eukaryota; Fungi
Description: LSU rRNA
Rfam family: Eukaryotic large subunit ribosomal RNA
Source: RNAcentral
ACCCGCUGAACUUAAGCAUAUCAAUAAGCGGAGGAAAAGAAACUAACAAGGAUUCCCCUAGUAACUGCGAGUGAAGCGGGAAGAGCUCAAAUUUAAAAUCUGGCGUGCCUCUGGUCGUCCGAGUUGUAGUCUGGAGAAGCGUUUUCCGUGUUGGACCGUGUAUAAGUCUCUUGGAACAGGGCGUCAUAGAGGGUGAGAAUCCCGUCUUUGACACGGACUACCAAUGCUUUGUGAUGCGCUCUCAAAGAGUCGAGUUGUUUGGGAAUGCAGCUCAAAAUGGGUGGUAAAUUCCAUCUAAAGCUAAAUAUAGGCGAGAGACCGAUAGCGAACAAGUACCGUGAGGGAAAGAUGAAAAGCACUUUGGAAAGAGAGUUAAACAGUACGUGAAAUUGCUGAAAGGGAAACGCUUGAAGUCAGUCACGUCUGCCAGGACUCAGCCUUGCUUCUGCUUGGUGUACUUUCUGGUUUGAUGGGCCAACAUCAAUUUCAACCGUUGGAGAAAGGCUUUGGGAAUGUGGCACCUUAGGGUGUGUUAUAGCCCUUUGUUGUAUACAACGGCUGGGAUUGAGGACUGCAGCAUGCCUUCAUGGCCGGGGCUCGCCCACGUACAUGCUUAGGAUGUUGGCAUAAUGGCUUUAAGCGACCCGUCUUGAAACACGG